RNAcentral lists this ribosomal RNA (527 nucleotides) under uncultured bacterium. RNAcentral's name for it is "bacterial SSU rRNA". It matches the Rfam family "Bacterial small subunit ribosomal RNA", at positions 8 to 526 of the family's 1533-position model. The record is from RNAcentral.
AGAGUUUGAUCAUGGCUCAGAUUGAACGCUGGCGGCAGGCCUAACACAUGCAAGUCGAGCGGUAGCACAGAGAGCUUGCUCUCGGGUGACGAGCGGCGGACGGGUGAGUAAUGUCUGGGAAACUGCCUGAUGGAGGGGGAUAACUACUGGAAACGGUAGCUAAUACCGCAUAACGUCGCAAGACCAAAGAGGGGGACCUUCGGGCCUCUUGCCAUCAGAUGUGCCCAGAUGGGAUUAGCUAGUAGGUGGGGUAACGGCUCACCUAGGCGACGAUCCCUAGCUGGUCUGAGAGGAUGACCAGCCACACUGGAACUGAGACACGGUCCAGACUCCUACGGGAGGCAGCAGUGGGGAAUAUUGCACAAUGGGCGCAAGCCUGAUGCAGCCAUGCCGCGUGUAUGAAGAAGGCCUUCGGGUUGUAAAGUACUUUCAGCGGGGAGGAAGGUGUUGAGGUUAAUAACCUCAGCAAUUGACGUUACCCGCAGAAGAAGCACCGGCUAACUCCGUGCCAGCCGCCGCGGUAAUUC